RNAcentral lists this small nuclear RNA (169 nucleotides) under Ophiophagus hannah (king cobra). RNAcentral describes it as "7SK RNA". It matches the Rfam family "7SK RNA", at positions 1 to 192 of the family's 331-position model. Rfam says of the family: 7SK was discovered as an abundant small nuclear RNA in the mid-70s but a possible function has only recently been suggested. Lineage: Eukaryota; Metazoa; Chordata; Lepidosauria; Squamata; Elapidae. The record is from Rfam by way of RNAcentral.
AGGCAUGAGAAUGAUCUGGCUGCCACAUCUGUCACCCCAGAAUUGAUUGGGUGAUCGGGAUAUCUCCUCCCUCCCUCACUGUUCCUUGAGCAUCUCUCCUGAAGCUGUGGGCUUGGGGGUAAGAGAACAGUCACCUCAUACAGAUAGUCAUCAACUUACGACUACGAUU